AAAGUCGUAACAAGGUUUCCGUAGGUGAACCUGCGGAAGGAUCAUUACCAAAUCCCUUCAAUCAACAACUGUGAACCUGUAUGAGUCUUUGGGGUGUGUUUGGAAGGUGGGAAAAGCUCAAGUCUACGAUUUGUGCCAGACCCGAUUGUCCUUGCGAUACACCCCAACAGGAACUGAAUCCUUGUGGUUCACGUGCCUGAUUUGAACACCAUGUUGCAAUUUCUUGGAUUGUUUAUCGCAAUGAAAAACAAUGACAACUUUUAACGGUGGAUCUCUUGGCUCGU
RNAcentral lists this unclassified non-coding RNA (284 nucleotides) under Basidiomycota sp. RNAcentral's name for it is "partial contains small subunit ribosomal RNA, internal transcribed spacer 1, and 5.8S ribosomal RNA". The stretch from base 1 to 47 matches the Rfam family "Eukaryotic small subunit ribosomal RNA", at positions 1785 to 1831 of the family's 1831-position model. The record is from RNAcentral. Lineage: Eukaryota; Fungi; Basidiomycota.